CCACAUUGGGGCGCAGCCUGAUGGAGCACACCGCGUGAGUGAAGAAGGGUUUCGGCUCGUAAAGCUCUGUUGUUCCAGAAGAACACGUAUGAGAGUAACUGUUCAUACGUUGACGGUAUUUAACCAGAAAGUCACGGCUAACUACGUGCCAGCAGCCGCGGUAAUACGUAGGUGGCAAGCGUUAUCCGGAUUUAUUGGGCGUAAAGAGAGUGCAGGCGGUUUUCUAAGUCUGAUGUGAAAGCCUUCGGCUUAACCGGAGAAGUGCAUCGGAAACUGGAUAACUUGAGUGCAGAAGAGGGUAGUGGAACUCCAUGUGUAGCGGUGGAAUGCGUAGAUAUAUGGAAGAACACCAGUGGCGAAGGCGGCUACCUGGUCUGCAACUGACGCUGAGACUCGAAAGCAUGGGUAGCGAACAGGAUUAGAUACCCUGGUAGUCCAUGCCGUAAACGAUGAGUGCUAGGUGUUGGAGGGUUUCCGCCCUUCAGUGCCGGAGCUAACGCAUUAAGCACUCCGCCUGGGGAGUACGACCGCAAGGUUGAAACUCAAAGAAAUUGACGG
This 558-nucleotide ribosomal RNA is filed under the name Limosilactobacillus fermentum. RNAcentral's name for it is "bacterial SSU rRNA". It matches the Rfam family "Bacterial small subunit ribosomal RNA", at positions 366 to 916 of the family's 1533-position model. Lineage: Bacteria; Bacillati; Bacillota; Bacilli; Lactobacillales; Lactobacillaceae. The record is from RNAcentral.